GGUGCUGCAUGGUUGUCGUCAGCUCGUGCCGUGAGGUGUCGGGUUAAGUCCCAUAACGAGCGCAACCCACGUCGUUAGUUGCCAACAGGUCAAGCUGGGAACUCUAACGAGACUGCCGGUGUAAACCGCGAGGAAGGUGUGGAUGACGUCAAAUCAGCACGGCCCUUACAUCCAGGGCUACACACGUGUUACAAUGGUCGGUACAGAGGGCAGCUACCAGGCAACUGGAUGCGAAUCUCAAAAACCGGUCUCAGUUCGGAUUGGAGUCUGCAACCCGACUCCAUGAAGCUGGAUUCGCUAGUAAUCGCGCAUCAGCCAUGGCGCGGUGAAUACGUUCCCGGGCCUU
RNAcentral lists this ribosomal RNA (346 nucleotides) under uncultured Alkaliflexus sp. RNAcentral's name for it is "bacterial SSU rRNA". It matches the Rfam family "Bacterial small subunit ribosomal RNA", at positions 1037 to 1382 of the family's 1533-position model. Lineage: Bacteria; Pseudomonadati; Bacteroidota; Bacteroidia; Marinilabiliales; Marinilabiliaceae. The record is from RNAcentral.